This 426-nucleotide ribosomal RNA is filed under the name uncultured bacterium. Its description in RNAcentral is "bacterial SSU rRNA". It matches the Rfam family "Bacterial small subunit ribosomal RNA", at positions 233 to 656 of the family's 1533-position model. The record is from RNAcentral.
GCGUCUGAUUAGCUUGUUGGCGGGGUAACGGCCCACCAAGGCGACGAUCAGUAGGGGUUCUGAGAGGAAGGUCCCCCACAUUGGAACUGAGACACGGUCCAAACUCCUACGGGAGGCAGCAGUGAGGAAUAUUGGUCAAUGGGCGAGAGCCUGAACCAGCCAAGUAGCGUGCAGGAUGACGGCCCUAUGGGUUGUAAGCUGCUUUUAUAAGGGAAUAAAGUGAGUCUCGUGAGACUUUUUGCAUGUACCUUAUGAAUAAGGACCGGCUAAUUCCGUGCCAGCAGCCGCGGUAAUACGGAAGGUCCGGGCGUUAUCCGGAUUUAUUGGGUUUAAAGGGAGCGUAGGCCGGAGAUUAAGCGUGUUGUGAAAUGUAGACGCUCAACGUCUGCACUGCAGCGCGAACUGGUUUCCUUGAGUACGCACAAA